Populus nigra (black poplar) is the source of this 330-nucleotide long non-coding RNA. RefSeq lists it as uncharacterized. NCBI's taxonomy places the organism in Eukaryota, Viridiplantae, Streptophyta, Magnoliopsida, Malpighiales, Salicaceae. The transcript is spliced from 2 exons. The record is from RefSeq and is a predicted model, not a curated record.
UUCAAAUCUAAUUCAAGAAAUCUUCAAACCCAUUUCAGUCGCGAAGAAGAGCAGAGGAGCAGAAGACUCUUGAAUCCUUGAUCGCUGUUUCAAAUUCAAGAAUAAGGUUAGAUGAGCUGUUGUUAACGAGCUCUGCCUCUACACGUUUAGCCCUACAUAUCAGCAGAGAACGAGGCAAAUCGGGGUCGAUGGACAUGUUAGACCCACAAACCAAUCCUCUUCUGUUUCUCUUUUCUUUAAGAUAAGGUGAAAAGGUCACCAAAAUGUAAAACUUUGAAAGGAUUCUUGGCCAUAAAGUGAGGAUUUUCCAUGAAAAUUAUAAGUAAUCAA